CCAAUGGUCACAGGGAGAAGGCAGGAGAAUGGAGUUGAGAGGGAGAAUAAAUCAGCCAUGAUAAAAUGGUGGGGAAGACUCGAAGGGGCAACAGAAGACAAGACAGCUGACUGCUCUGGAACUUUUGGACCCUCAGGUUUUUAUGAAAACGUUCAUCAUUGGCUGUGUUCAUUGAACUGGUAGUACUCCUCUGGACAAGGAACCACAUAAGGUCCGGCAGAUGUGGGAGGUGGAACGUUUGGAUAUGGUAUUGAACUGGGUUGGACAUCAGGCUGAUUUUUGUGGAUGGGCACACACAUCGAUAGUGCAAAUGGACAUGCCAUUUCAGAGGUGUUUGAAGAUCUGCACGUACAAAGAAAAAUCUGACAUUUGUGACAAUAAAGUGGAAUGGGAAGAUUGGUUAAUUAUAGGCAACCUGUAUUUUCCCUAUAUAAAAUAUGAAAUUCAAGGCAAUGGGGUUUCUACAUUAGAAAGGGGAUCCAGACCCCAGAUUUUUCUUCAUCAUCUUGUAUCAUAUAAUUUGUCUGGAUAAUGAAGGAAUGCAAGGAACCAGAUGAAAAAAAUCUAAAUUGAGCAAAUGUUUCUUGAAAUGAGAGCAACACACACAUUCACCAUUCCCCUUGAAAUGGGACAUUGUUUUCUGGAUCAGCUCUUUUUAGCUUAGUUGGAGAUAAAUGAAUAUAAUCACUAUACUGUAGUAGUUGAUACCUGCUGGCAGAACUUGUAAAAUUAAAGUUUUUCAUUGCAAUCGGACUUCACUACAUAUCCAAUUAAAUUUCAAAGCUGUUACUCUAAGUUUCAGCAUUUAAAAGAAUAUAAGCAGGUAAUGUAAGGGUUUCUUCAAAAAUAAAAAUAGCCUCUUGUAAAAUCCAGUGAAGACUUUUUUUUCUAACCGUCUCUUACAUUCACUUCAAGUUAUGACAGGAUUUAUGAGAUUUUUUCCAAUAAGUCCUCUCAUGGACCUGAAGAAAAACUCUGCCUUUAAUACCAUCAUUCCAAAUAAAGCGAUUCCUAAGCUCCGGAACCUGGGCCUUAGUACUCAGAUCUGCAGCUGGAUCUUCAACUUCCUCACAGACAGGACCCAGGCUGUAAAAAUAGGGGACAAGCUCUCCUCUACAAUCACUCUGAGCACCGGUGCCCCACAAGGCUGUGUACUCAGCCCCCUGCUGUACCCACUGUACACCCAUGAUUGUGUAGCCAAGCUUCCAUCAAACUCAAUAUAUAAGUUUGCUGAUGACACAACAAUUCUAGGCCGUAUCUCGGGUAGUGAUGAGUUUGAGUACAGAGAGGAAAUUAAGAACCUGGUGGCAUGGUGCGAAGACAAUAACCUAUCUUCAACAUCAGCAAGAUGAAGGAAUUGGUUGUUGACUUCAGAAGGAGUAGCGGACCGCACGACCCAAUUUACAUCGGUGGUGCGCAAGUGGAACAGGUCAAAAGCUUUAAGUUCCUCGGGGUCAAUAUCACAAAUGACCUGACUUGGUCCAACCAAGCAGAGUUCACUGCCAAGAAGGCCCACCAGCGCCUUUACUUCCUGAGAAAACUAAAGAAAUUUGGCCUGACCCCUAAAACCUUCACUAAUUUUUAUAGGAGCACCGUAGAAAGCAUUCUUCUAGAGUGCAUCACAACCUGGUAUGGAAGUUUCCUGUCGAAGACCAAAAGAAGCUGCAGAAGAUCGUGAACACGGCGCAGCACAUCACACAAACCAAUCUUCUGUCCUUGGACUCACCUUACACCGCACGCUGUUGGAACAGUGCUGCCAGGAUAAUCAAGGACACGACCCACCCAGCCAACACGCUUUUUGUCCCUCUUCCCUCCGGGAGAAGGCUCAGGAGCUUGAAGACUUGUACGGCCAGAUUUGGGAACAGCUUCUUUCCAACUGCCAUAAGACUGCUGAACGGAUCCUGACCUGGAUCUGGGCCGUACCCUCCAAAUAUCCGGACCUGCCUCUUGGUUUUUUUUGCACUACCUUACUUUCCAUUUUUCUAUUUUCUAUUUAUGAUUUAUAAUUUACAUGUAUAAUAUUUAUUAAUUUUUACUAUUUAAUAUUUAUAAUCUAGGGAGCGGGAAGCACAGAAUCAAACAUUGAUGUGAUGAUUAUAUGUUCUAGUAUCAAUUGUUUGGCGACUAUAAAGUAUAAAGUAUGUGAAGAAGUUCGUUCAAUUGUGUUUAUAAGUAAAGUUGAAAAUCUAUAUAACAUGUACUGAUCCCGCAAGGGUAACUAAUGAAAAUAUUGAUUCAGAUUUUUUUCACUCACUGUCCAAGAUAAGAAGGAGUAUGAAUCAAAUAAAAUAAAGCAUU
Molecule: long non-coding RNA, 2298 nt
Organism: Mobula hypostoma (lesser devil ray)
Lineage: Eukaryota; Metazoa; Chordata; Chondrichthyes; Myliobatiformes; Myliobatidae
Exons: 4
Source: RefSeq, a predicted model, not a curated record